Long non-coding RNA from Macadamia integrifolia, 899 nucleotides. RefSeq lists it as uncharacterized. NCBI's taxonomy places the organism in Eukaryota, Viridiplantae, Streptophyta, Magnoliopsida, Proteales, Proteaceae. The record is from RefSeq and is a predicted model, not a curated record. The transcript has 4 exons.
AACGAAGAAACAUUUUCAAAAAACUCUACUCCUCUUCUUCCUCGCCGAGUGUUUCAUCCUCAACAACUCCAUCGUCUUCCCAAGGGCUAGCCACCGGAUUUCAGCUAAUAACCGGAGUUCAUGUCAGGGAAUUAGGUGAUGUGGAACACAUACAUUUGGUGAAAGGAUUGGACUAUGCCUUACUUGACAAAAUUAGAAGUGAGAUUGAUAAGAAACCCGAAGUUCGCGAAGAGACUGAUGGAAAGUCUAGGCUUCUUUCUAUAUGUUACUUCUGUGCCUAGCUUCUAGAUAUUAACUUGAGUAGCUCGAAUUGAUAGUUGAACACCUGGGGCAGACUAGAAUGGUGCUAAAAAAGCAGUUUUCGGCGACGCAAUUAGUUUCGCUCUUCCAUCACAUUUGCUAUUGGUGGUGGUGCUUGUGGUUCCAUUGUCUACCAUUGUUUCUUGCUUUGUAGAAUGAGGAAGAGCCUUCCAAAUUUUAUUCACUCUCUCUCCCCUAUCUUUUCUAGUUCCCUCCGUGAGAGCCGAUUGAGGUGGUAUGGUCAUGUGCAAUGGAGACCUAUGGACGCCCCAGUAAGAAAGAGUGAUCAGAUUCAUUUACAGAGAACUAGAAAAGGUAGGGGAAGGCCAAAGAUGACUAUUAACGAAGUAGUGCGAAACGAUAUGAAAACCGUAGGGCUUGACUCUAGUCUGACUUCAGAUAGAGUUACGUGGAGGACAAAGACCCGUGUUGCCGACCCCCUAUAGGGGAUGUUCCCAUGAUGAGUUCUUGUAUACUGCUAUAAUUCUUCUUUUAUCCCCAAAUCUCUUUAACCGUUCCUUUAUGCUUAUUUACUUUUACUUAUUGGAUUCAUGUAGCCUACUCCAUUCAGUUGGGAUAAUGUUAUGAUUGUUGUUGUU